UGGCCGAUUACCAGGAGCUCUUUGAGGAUCUCAAAUCCCAAGUGAUGUUAUCCCUUCCCCACCUUCCUGAGUCGUAUUAUAUCUCCAUCUUUGCUAGUGGAUUGAAAGAGGAAAUCAGGUCAAUGGUGAAAAUUAUCAAACCAACCUCCAUUUCCCAAGCUUUUGAAAUAGCCAUCUUGUAGGAAAGUACCAUUCUAGCUCUCCACAAAAACACCAAAAACCCAACCAAACCCAAUUAUCAAUCCAAAAGGCCUAACCCCCCACCAGGGCCCUUCGAAGCCAGUACAAGAAUAUCUCCCACCAAUAACACUGAACAAAUCCAAAAGAGCCAAAACCUUCCAUUGAGAUUCAAAACCAUCACCCCCAC
RNAcentral lists this long non-coding RNA (367 nucleotides) under Olea europaea (common olive). RNAcentral describes it as "long non-coding RNA (OEUR_LNC003405)". The record is from RNAcentral. Lineage: Eukaryota; Viridiplantae; Streptophyta; Magnoliopsida; Lamiales; Oleaceae.